This 365-nucleotide ribosomal RNA is filed under the name Nanos occidentalis. RNAcentral describes it as "partial 12S ribosomal RNA". The record is from RNAcentral. Lineage: Eukaryota; Metazoa; Arthropoda; Insecta; Coleoptera; Scarabaeidae.
CCCUAUUAUAAAAAAUAUAAAGUUAAAUGCUAGAGUAGUAGUAGUUAAGUUCUUGAAAUUCAAAAGAUUUGGCGGUAUUUUAGUCUUUUCAGAGGAACCUGUCCUAUAAUUUGAUGAUCCACGAUUAAUUGUACUUAAUUUAGUAGUUUGUAUAUCGUCGUCGUUGAAUAUCUUUAAAAGGAAUAUAGAAAUGUUCAAAAUUUAUAAUUUAUAGAGUAAAUCAGAUCAAGAUACAGUUUAUAAUUAAGUAGAGAUGGGUUACAAUAAAUUUAUUUAUAUGGAUAUAUUAAUUAACAUUUUUGUUGAAAAUGGAUUUGAAGGUAAUAUAUUUAAGUUAAAAUAUAUGAUUUAAGCUCUAGAAUAUG